CCAGGGAUUGAACUCAGGUCCUUGCGCUUGCAAGGCAGGCAGUGGAACCACUGAGCUAAAUCCCCGGCCCAAUAAAUUCUCUUUUGCAACCCAGAACUCAUUGUUCAGUAUGAGUCUGAUACACAUAAGAAGGAAUAUU
Molecule: small nucleolar RNA, 139 nt
Filed under: Heterocephalus glaber (naked mole-rat)
Lineage: Eukaryota; Metazoa; Chordata; Mammalia; Rodentia; Bathyergidae
Description: Small nucleolar RNA SNORA40
Rfam family: Small nucleolar RNA SNORA40 (bases 38-139)
About the family: The snoRNA ACA 40 belongs to the H/ACA family of snoRNAs and guides the pseudouridylation of 28S rRNA subunit at position U4565. NB This family has a high threshold value to exclude a large number of closely related sequences that do not appear to have conserved H and ACA boxes, and may be pseudogenes.
Source: Rfam by way of RNAcentral